This 246-nucleotide long non-coding RNA is filed under the name Elaeis guineensis (African oil palm). Its description in RNAcentral is "long non-coding RNA (EGUI_LNC027783)". The record is from RNAcentral. Lineage: Eukaryota; Viridiplantae; Streptophyta; Magnoliopsida; Arecales; Arecaceae.
GAUCACUAGCUCCAUAAAGAGUCGGUGAAUAUAGUGGGAGGGUCUUUUUUGAGGCAUCGACCCUUUAAGAAAUGAAAGAAAAAUAAGAAGAAAAAUAAGAAGGUGCAGCAGCGUGCUGGGGCAUCUAUGCUCUGUCAGACCAAAAAAUCUAAGUCUGACUAGAGUCAGACAAAAUGCUUCUAAUGUAAAAAGUAAUAGUAGUAGAAGAGGAACUGUCCUCAGUACAUUAUCUCCCUAGAUCCCAAC